This is a long non-coding RNA of Oncorhynchus keta (chum salmon), 860 nucleotides long. RefSeq lists it as uncharacterized. The transcript is spliced from 6 exons. The record is from RefSeq and is a predicted model, not a curated record. NCBI's taxonomy places the organism in Eukaryota, Metazoa, Chordata, Actinopteri, Salmoniformes, Salmonidae.
GGUUAAGAAGGAGGGGGGAUGGGGCUAGGUUGGGUUUAGAAGGAGGGGGGAUGGGGCAGGGUUAGGUUGGGUUUAGAAGGAGAGGGGUUGGGACUGGGUUAGGUUGGGUUUAGAAGGAGAGGGGAUGGGACUGGGUUAGGUUGGGUUUAGAAGGAGAGGGGAUGGGACUGGGUUAGGUUGGGUUUAGAAGGAGAGGGGAUGGGACUGGGUUAGGUUGGGUUUAGAAGGAGAGGGGAUGGGACUGGGUUAGGUUGGGUUUAGAAGGAGAGGGGAUGGGGCUGGGUUAGGUUGGGUUUAGAAGGAGAGGGGAUGGGACUGGGUUAGGUUGGGUUUAGAAGGAGAGGGGAUGGGGCUGGGUUAGGUUGGGUUUAGAAGGAGAGGGGAUGGGGCUGGGUUAGGUUGGGUUUAGAAGGAGAGGGGAUGGGGCUGGGUUAGGUUGGGUUUAGAAGGAGAGGGGAUGGGGCUGGGUUAGGUUGGGUUUAGAUGGAGAGGGGAUGGGGCUGGGUUAGGUUGGGUUUAGAAGGAGAGGGGAUGGGACUGGGUUAGGUUGGGUUUAGAAGGAGAGGGGAUGGGGCUGGGUUAGGUUGGGUUUAGAAGGAGAGGGGAUGGGGCUGGGUUAGGUUGGGUUUAGAAGGAGAGGGGAUGGGGCUGGGUUAGGUUGGGUUUAGAAGGAGAGGGGAUGGGACUGGGUUAGGUUGGGUUUAGAAGGAGAGGGGAUGGGACUGGGUUAGGUUGGGUUUAGAAGGAGAGGGGAUGGGACUGGGUUAGGUUGGGUUUAGAAGGAGAGGGGAUGGGACUGGGUUAGGUUGGGUUGGGUUUAGAAGGAGGGGGAUGGGGCUGGGUUGGGUUGGGUUUAGCUG